GAGACACCCUUUGGGGGCAAAACUUUCUUCAGUGGGGCUUUGGUGCUCACUGAGUCUGCCCCCUGAGUGUGUCCCU
This 76-nucleotide microRNA precursor is filed under the name Myotis lucifugus (little brown bat). RNAcentral's name for it is "mir-9229 microRNA precursor family". It matches the Rfam family "mir-9229 microRNA precursor family". The record is from Rfam by way of RNAcentral. Lineage: Eukaryota; Metazoa; Chordata; Mammalia; Chiroptera; Vespertilionidae.